Molecule: long non-coding RNA, 1321 nt
Organism: Rhineura floridana
Lineage: Eukaryota; Metazoa; Chordata; Lepidosauria; Squamata; Rhineuridae
Exons: 2
Source: RefSeq, a predicted model, not a curated record
CGAGGGGAGAGGCCCUGGCCGGAAUGCGCCUUUGUCUUGGCCACGGCCGAGCCCCGCCGGGGCCGGCCGGAUGCAAGCGGAGCUGCCGCUCGGAAAGUUUCCUGCCGCUCCUUAGUUGAGAGACGGUGCUUGGCCGGGGUGGGGCUUCUCCUGGGUCUUUGCAGCCCUCGUGGAGCCCCCGAGGGACGGCGGCCUGCUCGCUGGGGACGAGCAGGGCUUCACUCGGGCCGGCUUCGGGAGCCGCGGAAAUCGCGGUGCCGCCGGAGGGUCAAAUUCAGCAGGCCAGCAAGUUGCGAGGGCGCCUCCUGGUUGCGCUCAACUCGGUGCAGAGCGCCUCGGAAGGCGGCAUCGCUGCGACCUCCGAGGAGCCCUGAGGUUUAACCCAGCCCCCAGAGGGUUUCCGGAGGGGCUGCAGCUCACGAGUCUCCGGCAGCGCAAACCACGACGUGAGGAGGGUCUUUCUGGGCCCCCAAAGACCGACACGUUGAUUUUGGCACAAGCUUGUGUGGAGUCCAUUCGGCUUCCUCGGACGCACGAAGCGUCACCUGGGCUUGAAGGACUGGACGCCACAAAGCGAAGAAAUUCGCACACUCUAGGACUGAUGCCAGCGGAAGGUUUUCUGAACACGUGCAAACUGCUUCCUUCUCCACCCCCUGGUCUUGCCUUCCAGCGUCCACCUUGGUGGACCCCUUAGAUGCAGCUUUGGAUGGUUAUGAACUUACACAAGUAGGUGUCACGCGGCAUGCUCAACCCCCACCUCCCCACCCUGCCCCUUGGAGGGCCACUUGUUUCUGGGUGUGGGAUGCUAGCGAGGAGCUCAAGGUACCCCAAACAUGGGUGCUAAUGGCUGGACUGAAUGACUCGGAGUGAAGAUAAAGGUGUAAGGCAGUUUGGUAAAGAAUCUUUCUCUUUCUGCUGCCUUGGUUCUGUCCCUAGUGGGGAGCCACCAGCCAAGUUCUCCAAGGUGAGAGACACUCUCUGGAGGAGAGUCAGCUUGAGGGAGAAGUGUGACUUUUGUGAUGAAAGGCUUGCCUUGGGCAGGGCCUCUUUUGGAUUUAAGAUGGCCUAAGACUCAACAAGACCCGGCUGCUUAAACCAGAGCUGAAAUCUACCACCAGGGGCUGGAGAGAAUGCUCCUGUGUUUUGCAGUGGUUCAUUUCCUACCCCUUUUUUAAAAAAGGGAAGUUUUAAAUAUCUGCUUAAAAUGUUGUUUUGCCUCCUGCCCUGUUCUUCAGAUUCCUUUGCCUAUUCAGCAGAGGGAAAUUUGGUCUGGACUGGAGGAUUUGUAAACUUCUCACAAAGUAAACUGGAUUAAUUUGUA